CGGACGGGUGAGUAACGCGUGGAUAACCUGCCUCACACAGGGGAGUAACAGUUAGAAAUGACUGCUAAUACCGCAUAAGCGCACGGUACCGCAUGGUACAGUGUGAAAAACUCCGGUGGUGUGAGAUGGAUCCGCGUCUGAUUAGGUAGUUGGUGAGGUAACGGCCCACCAAGCCGACGAUCAGUAGCCGACCUGAGAGGGUGACCGGCCACAUUGGGACUGAGACACGGCCCAA
Molecule: ribosomal RNA, 235 nt
Filed under: uncultured bacterium
Lineage: Bacteria
Description: partial 16S ribosomal RNA
Rfam family: Bacterial small subunit ribosomal RNA
Source: RNAcentral